AUUCCAGCUCCAGUAGCGUAUAUUAAAGUUGUUGCAGUUAAAAAGCUCGUAGUUGGAUUUCUGACUUCAGAUACCUGACCCUCCCUCGCUAGAGGUGAGUGUGCCGGAGUAUUUGUAUCAUCCUUUCAGUGAUCGGCUCUACCCUUAACCGGGUCGGAGCUGCCAGCUGGAUCUUUUACUUUGAAGAAAUUGGAGUGUUUAAAGCAGGCUUACGCCAGAACAUAUUAGCAUGGAAUAAUAAUUUAGGACUUUUGUUCUAUUUUGUUGGUUUCUAGGACGAAAGUAAUGAUUGAUAGGGAUAGUUGGGGGUGCUAGUAUUCGGCGGCCAGAGGUGAAAUUCUUUGAUCCGCUGAAGACUAACUUAUGCGAAAGCAUUCACCAAGGAUGUCUUCAUUG
RNAcentral lists this ribosomal RNA (396 nucleotides) under Cercozoa sp. Its description in RNAcentral is "partial small subunit ribosomal RNA". It matches the Rfam family "Eukaryotic small subunit ribosomal RNA", at positions 582 to 975 of the family's 1831-position model. Lineage: Eukaryota; Cercozoa. The record is from RNAcentral.